This 334-nucleotide unclassified non-coding RNA is filed under the name soil metagenome. RNAcentral describes it as "partial contains 5.8S ribosomal RNA, internal transcribed spacer 2, and large subunit ribosomal RNA". The stretch from base 1 to 120 matches the Rfam family "5.8S ribosomal RNA", at positions 35 to 154 of the family's 154-position model. The record is from RNAcentral.
GAUGAAGAACGUAGCGAAAUGCGAUAAGUAGUGUGAAUUGCAGAAUUCAGUGAAUCAUCGAAUCUUUGAACGCACAUUGCGCCCCUUGGUAUUCCAUGGGGCAUGCCUGUUCGAGCGUCAUUUGUACCUUCAAGCUUUGCUUGGUGUUGGGUGUUUGUCCAUUCUCUUGCAGAGGGACUCGCCUUAAAGUAAUUGGCAGCCAGUGUUUUGGUUUUGAAGCGCAGCACAAGUCGCGAUUCAAAGCUAUACGCCAGCUUCCACAAGCCUUUUUCACUUUUGACCUCGGAUCAGGUAGGGAUACCCGCUGAACUUAAGCAUAUCAAUAAGCGGAGGA